GAUGAACGCUGGCGGCGUGCCUAAUACAUGCAAGUCGAGCGAACAGACGAGGAGCUUGCUCCUCUGUCGUUAGCGGCGGACGGGUGAGUAACACGUGGAUAACCUACCUAUAAGACUGGGAUAACUUCGGGAAACCGGAGCUAAUACUGCAUAAUAUAUUGAACCGCUUGGUCAAAUGGUCAAAGACGGUUUUGCUGUCCCUUACAGAUGGAUCCGCGCCGCACUAGCUGGUUGGUAAGGGAACGGCUUACCAAGGCAACGAUGCUUAGCCGACGUGAGAGGGUGAUCGGCCACACUGGAACUGAGCCACGGUCCAGACUCCUACGGGAGGCAACAGUAGGGAAUCUUCCGCAAUGGGCGAAAACCUGACGGAGCAACGCCGCGUGAGUGAUGAAGGUCUUCGGAUCGUAAAACUCUGUUAUUAGGGAAGAACAAAUGUGUAAGUAACUAUGCACGUCUUGACGGUACCUAAUCAGAAAGCCACGGCUAACUACGUG
RNAcentral lists this ribosomal RNA (497 nucleotides) under uncultured bacterium. RNAcentral's name for it is "partial 16S ribosomal RNA". It matches the Rfam family "Bacterial small subunit ribosomal RNA", at positions 28 to 507 of the family's 1533-position model. The record is from RNAcentral.